Molecule: ribosomal RNA, 550 nt
Filed under: uncultured bacterium
Lineage: Bacteria
Description: bacterial SSU rRNA
Rfam family: Bacterial small subunit ribosomal RNA
Source: RNAcentral
AAUAGAUACCCCGGUAGUCCACCCCGUAAACGUUGGGAACUAGUUGUGGGGUCCUUUCCACGGAUUCCGUGACGCAGCUAACGCAUUAAGUUCCCCGCCUGGGGAGUACGGCCGCAAGGCUAAAACUCAAAGGAAUUGACGGGGACCCGCACAAGCGGCGGAGCAUGCGGAUUAAUUCGAUGCAACGCGAAGAACCUUACCAAGGCUUGACAUACACCGGAAACGGCCAGAGAUGGCCGCCCCGCAAGGUCGGUGUACAGGUGGUGCAUGGUUGUCGUCAGCUCGUGUCGUGAGAUGUUGGGUUAAGUCCCGCAACGAGCGCAACCCUCGUUCUAUGUUGCCAGCACGUAAUGGUGGGAACUCAUGGGAUACUGCCGGGGUCAACUCGGAGGAAGGUGGGGAUGACGUCAAAUCAUCAUGCCCCUUAUGUCUUGGGCUUCACGCAUGCUACAAUGGCCGGUACAAAGGGCUGCAAUACCGUGAGGUGAGCGAAUCCCAAAAGCCGGUCCCAGUUCGGAUUGAGGUCUGCAACUCGACCUCAUGAAGUCGG